This 377-nucleotide unclassified non-coding RNA is filed under the name uncultured Actinomycetes bacterium. Its description in RNAcentral is "uncultured actinobacterium contains 16S-23S intergenic spacer region". Lineage: Bacteria; Bacillati; Actinomycetota; Actinomycetes. The record is from RNAcentral.
UCCGAGUUGACCCCGGCAGUCUCCUAUGAGUCCCCGCCAUUACGCGCUGGCAACAUAGAACGAGGGUUGCGCUCGUUGCGGGACUUAACCCAACAUCUCACGACACGAGCUGACGACAACCAUGCACCACCUGUGAUCGGCCCUUGCGGACCCCAUAUCUCUAUGAGUUUUCCGAACAUGUCAAGCCCAGGUAAGGUUCUUCGCGUUGCAUCGAAUUAAGCCACAUGCUCCGCCGCUUGUGCGGGCCCCCGUCAAUUCCUUUGAGUUUUAGCCUUGCGGCCGUACUCCCCAGGCGGGGCGCUUAAUGCGUUAGCUGCGGCACAGAGACCGUGGAAUGGUCCCCACACCUAGCGCCCACCGUUUACGGCGUGGACUAC